GAUUUCCUUGUACGAAACCUUUAAAGAACGCGAAAAGCCGCCGGAUAAUUGUAUCGCUAAAAAGAUGGCGAUCAACAGCCUCAUGAAUCGAACGUCUUCAGGAAGCGGAAAAGAUGACAAAAUCACCGUAUGCCAUGGACUAUCAUUUUGCUGAGCUGACGAAAGAUGUUCAUGCGAUUUCCGAGAGGCCACCACUGAUAUUAUUAAAGGAACUUAUGGCGAUACCGGUUUGACCCCCAAUGGUCCGGUGGCAGAUAGUUUACCCCUGCAUGAUUUUUGGUGUAAGCUAGCCAGCUCCAAAUCAACAGUUAUUGUACAUCAUCUCUACGUUCUCUGCAUUUGUUACCUCAAAAUUAUUAGUUAUUUACAAUGAUCUCUUAUAAUGUAACUA
Molecule: long non-coding RNA, 391 nt
Organism: Armigeres subalbatus
Lineage: Eukaryota; Metazoa; Arthropoda; Insecta; Diptera; Culicidae
Exons: 3
Source: RefSeq, a predicted model, not a curated record